This is an RNA transcript of Mus musculus (house mouse), 1451 nucleotides long. It is a transcript of the gene named ubiquitin-conjugating enzyme E2F (putative), retrotransposed, with no coding region annotated. NCBI's taxonomy places the organism in Eukaryota, Metazoa, Chordata, Mammalia, Rodentia, Muridae. The transcript has a single exon. The record is from RefSeq and is marked validated.
GCGGCUCUGAAGGGCUGCGCAACUCGGUGCCGCUGCUCGCCGGGCACGGUUUUGGGUGCCGGCUCACCUCUCCUGAUUCGUGGUGCUCAGAAAGGUGGCAGUAAUGCUAACGCUGGCAAGCAAGUUGAAGUGGGAUGAAGAUCUCAAAGGAUCCCAGACAUCAGUGUCCACAUCUGACUCUACUCGGAGGUUUUCCAUGAGAGAUAAGUUGCUUGUUACAGAGGUUGCAGAACUUGAAGCUAAUUUACCUUGGACCUGUAAAGUACAUUUUCCUGAUCCAAACAAGCUUCAUUGCUUUCAGCUGACUGUAAGCCCAGAUGAGGGUUACUACCAGGGUGGAAAUUUUCAGUUUGAAAUUGAAGUUCCUGAUGCCUACAACAUGGUGCCUCCCAAGGUGAAAUGCUUGACUAAAAUCUGGCACCCCAACAUCACAGAAACGGGGGAAAUAUGUCUAAGUUUACUAAGAGAACAUUCCGCUGAUGGCACUGGCUGGGCUCCCACUCGAACAUUAAAGGAUGUCGUUUGGGGGUUAAACUCUUUAUUUACCGAUCUUUUGAAUUUUUAUGAUCCACUGAAUAUUGAAGCUGCAGAACAUCAUUUGCAGGACAAGGAGGAUUUUCGGGACAAAGUGGAUGAAUACAUCAGACGCUAUGCCAGAUGAUAAGAGGAGAGCUCGCAGGUCUGAGGACUUUGUCACAGUUGUCUCUGAUGUGAAACAGCUCGAGGUAGCCCUCCUCCCCAUCCUCAUACUUCCCGUCAGCCCCUUGGGAUUGUCCUAGUCCUGCGACCGUGCUGUCCUGAAGAAGAUCCUCCUGACUGCCCACUGUAGGUGGCGAACAUUAUACAGCAAGAACGUGUGUCUGGGUCUCGAGAGAGGUGUCUGCUUCCCUUAACGUGUUUACUGAAACUCCUAUCUAGGCUGUCUGGUGGAAUCCCUCCGAAGUUGUAACGAACUCACCCCUGAGGAGAUAGCGCUUGCUUCCUUUCCCCCAACAAUCGGUGUCCUGCACAGGUGAUGUAAUGACUUGUUCCAUGUGACUGGCGGAUUGGCAAUAAGAAACCCGCUAUAAACAGUGAUGGGAUGCACACUCUCUUAGCUUCUUCCAGGAACGCUGACCGAACCUAAAUGUGACACUUCCCAGAAUGCAGUCACUUACUGUAGUAGAUCUUACUGAAAUGCGUAUUUUAUUUAAUGUGAGUAUAUUUUGGGACAGAUUUGAAAUUUGUACCAAAAAAAUGUAACCGUUUAAUGUUUGGAUAGGGAAAAAAAUGAUGACACCUUUAUAAGAAGUAAUGUUAAACAAACCAACCAACCUCUGGGGGCCCAUGAGAUGGCUUAGCAGGUAAAAGUACUGGAGAAGAGAAUGGGAACCCUCUGACCGCCAUGCCCAGGCCUGUUCUCCCAGACCCCACAACACACUAUGCUAAUAAAUAAAACACGCUCUGACCAU